AAAAUUAAACUGAAGAGUUUGAUCAUGGCUCAGAUUGAACGCUGGCGGUAGGCUUAACACAUGC
RNAcentral lists this ribosomal RNA (64 nucleotides) under Bermanella sp. 47_1433_sub80_T6. RNAcentral describes it as "partial 16S ribosomal RNA". Lineage: Bacteria; Pseudomonadati; Pseudomonadota; Gammaproteobacteria; Oceanospirillales; Oceanospirillaceae. The record is from RNAcentral.